This is a long non-coding RNA of Sebastes umbrosus (honeycomb rockfish), 784 nucleotides long. RefSeq lists it as uncharacterized. The transcript has 3 exons. Lineage: Eukaryota; Metazoa; Chordata; Actinopteri; Perciformes; Sebastidae. The record is from RefSeq and is a predicted model, not a curated record.
AGGUAACUUCAGGGUCAAACCCUCAGGGGCCAAAUUGGCAGUGCCCCGAUAUCUAUAUCUUUUCAUAACAUAUAAACCUACAUCUGUGCCAAAUUUGUUGCUUUUAUAGCACAAUGCAGAAUUGUUAUGCUGAACUGCCCCGCUAAUAAGACAGUCCAAAACUACUAGUAAACAUGAGCAACUCUCUUCCAAAUCCAAAAACUAGAGCGCUAAAACUCCAACUGGUGAUGUCAUAGGGUAUAAAGUGAUGUCAUAGGGUAAAAGAGUGGAGCUGCUCCAUAGACAAUGAAAGGGAGAGCUGUUGUAGAUGACUCAGAGAGCAUCCAGAGGAAUGUUCUGAGGAUAUGGGAACAUUUCCUGUUUCACAACUGAGAACUCUACAAUAGAAUAAAGAGAAAGAAACCAACAUCCUGUGGGUCCAUUCACUGACUCUGGAGCAGCUCCACGCUUUAUACCUGAUGACCUAUUUACCUUUUCAUGUAAAAUACAAAGUGAUGUUCCACAUGCAGUGGACCUGAUGAUCGGCAUCAGUACAAGUUACAAGUUCUGCCUUUGUGUAGUGGACUAUAAAUUCUGCUGUUCAGAUCUACUUGAUGACAUGCUCAUCUUUGGGGCUGUUGUUAGAGAAAUCUUUGUUGUUAGAAAUUCACUAAUUGUCUAAAAGCAGUUGCUUUCUUUGUAUUAGUGAUCACCAUGUUUCCCUCUCUAAUCUGGAGACUUUGCAUACCUUACCGCUAAACCCCAUUAAAACUCCAUGCAUGUUGGUGUGGAGGUGUAUGCGUGA